This 495-nucleotide ribosomal RNA is filed under the name uncultured bacterium. RNAcentral's name for it is "partial 16S ribosomal RNA". It matches the Rfam family "Bacterial small subunit ribosomal RNA", at positions 28 to 507 of the family's 1533-position model. The record is from RNAcentral.
GACGAACGCUGGCGGCGUGCCUAAUACAUGCAAGUCGAACGCUGAAGGAGGAGCUUGCUUCUCUGGAUGAGUUGCGAACGGGUGAGUAACGCGUAGGUAACCUGCCUGGUAGCGGGGGAUAACUAUUGGAAACGAUAGCUAAUACCGCAUAACAGUAGAUAUCGCAUGAUAUCUACUUGAAAGGUGCAAUUGCAUCACUACCAGAUGGCCCUGCGUUGUAUUAGCUAGUUGGUGAGGUAACGGCUCACCAAGGCGACGAUACAUAGCCGACCUGAGAGGGUGAUCGGCCACACUGGGGAUGAGACACGGCCCAGACUCCUACGGGAGGCAGCAGGAGGGAAUCUUCGGCAAUGGACGGAAGUCUGACCGAGCAACGCCGCGUGAGUGAAGAAGGUUUUCGGAUCGUAAAGCUCUGUUGUAAGAGAAGAACGAGUGUGAGAGUGGAAAGUUCACACUGUGACGGUAUCUUACCAGAAAGGGACGGCUAACUACGUG